GACGAACGCUGGCGGCGUGCCUAAUACAUGCAAGUAGAACGCUGAAGCUUGGUGCUUGCACCGAGCGGAUGAGUUGCGAACGGGUGAGUAACGCGUAGGUAACCUGCCUGGUAGCGGGGGAUAACUAUUGGAAACGAUAGCUAAUACCGCAUAACAGUAGCUAUCGCAUGAUAGCUACUUGAAAGGUGCAAAUGCACCACUACCAGAUGGACCUGCGUUGUAUUAGCUAGUUGGUGAGGUAACGGCCCACCAAGGCAACGAUACAUAGCCGACCUGAGAGGGGGGUCGGCCAAACUGGGAAUGGGACACGGCCCAGACUCCUAACGGAAGCAGCAGGAGGGGAACUUCGGGCAUGGACGGAAGUCUGACCGAGCAACGCCGGGGGGGUGAAGAAGGGUCUCGGAUCGUAAAGCUCCGUUGUAAGAGAAGAACGAGUGUGAGAGUGGAAAGUUCACACUGUGACGGUAGCUGACCAGAAAGGGACGGCUAACUACGUG
RNAcentral lists this ribosomal RNA (497 nucleotides) under uncultured bacterium. RNAcentral's name for it is "partial 16S ribosomal RNA". It matches the Rfam family "Bacterial small subunit ribosomal RNA", at positions 28 to 507 of the family's 1533-position model. The record is from RNAcentral.